RNAcentral lists this ribosomal RNA (261 nucleotides) under uncultured archaeon. RNAcentral describes it as "partial 16S ribosomal RNA". It matches the Rfam family "Archaeal small subunit ribosomal RNA", at positions 748 to 1009 of the family's 1478-position model. The record is from RNAcentral.
CAGCCGUAAACUAUGCUCGCUAGGUGUCAGGCAUGGCGCGACCGUGUCUGGUGCCGCAGGGAAGCCGUGAAGCGAGCCACCUGGGAAGUACGGCCGCAAGGCUGAAACUUAAAGGAAUUGGCGGGGGAGCACAACAACGGGUGGAGCCUGCGGUUUAAUUGGGCUCAACGCCGGGAAGCUCACCGGAUAAGACAGCGGAAUAAUUGCCGGGCUGAAGACUCUGCAUGACUAGCUGAGAGGAGGUGCAUGGCGUAGACGUCU